Molecule: unclassified non-coding RNA, 532 nt
Filed under: Hevea brasiliensis (rubber tree)
Lineage: Eukaryota; Viridiplantae; Streptophyta; Magnoliopsida; Malpighiales; Euphorbiaceae
Source: RNAcentral
AUUUUUUUUUCUAAAUUAAAAAACAAAACCAAAGAUCGUUGCCCAUGUGUAAUGUAACUUGUAUCCUAUGCUUCUCAAUAUCAUGUUCUCAUUAGAACUAUCACAUCUCACUUUUGACACUAUCAUCAGAAUUGUGUUUGAACUGAACAAGGUAGAAUUUGGGGAGUUAUAUUGCAAGUACCAUAUGGUAGGAACUAAGCAGAAGGUAACUAAAUCUCUGUUUCUUUCUUUCUUCCUCAAAUAACAACCAAGAAAAGGAAUAAAAAGGUGGAUUCACAUCAUGUCUCAUAUUGCUAGGCUGUCCAUCUCCAUAACCAAGUGAUAUUUUAUCAACAAAUAACUUCAACCAACGUUGUAACAUAUUUUGAUAACUAUAGCCACAGGUGCAUAACAUCAUAAGUUUAAUGGAUAGAAGGCUAGGUUAUAUUGCAUAUAGAAUUUCCAUAUAUAUCACUAACCAGACAUUGCAAGGGGCUCACAGCUAAUAACUUAAAAUUUUGUAACAAGAAGAUUAGUUUUCCGUGACUUACAG